This 1294-nucleotide ribosomal RNA is filed under the name Microcondylaea bonellii. RNAcentral's name for it is "Unio bonellii 16S ribosomal RNA". It matches the Rfam family "Bacterial large subunit ribosomal RNA", at positions 584 to 2742 of the family's 2925-position model. The record is from RNAcentral. Lineage: Eukaryota; Metazoa; Mollusca; Bivalvia; Unionida; Unionidae.
CAGCAAACGAUCUGAAAACCACAACUUUAAAGUAAACCAACACAUAAGCUAGUAACGUAUAAACAACUUAACGACACCCAACACCGCAAGGGCCCAUAAACCUACCUCAAAGAAGAAAUAAAUCCCCCUACCUUUUGCAUCAUGUAGUUGCAACAAAACCUAGCCAACCCGCUGCUUCCCGAAAAGUGAAGAGCUAUUACCAGCACCCACCAAUUAGUGUAUCAUUACUAAACCGCAGCAGAUAAUAGAAGCAAAAUACCUUACGAGUCACUUGAUAACUGGUUGUCCCUUAAAAACAUAUAAGUGUUCCCUGGUAGAUAAACUCAAAACCUAAGAUACCAGAAGCAACCCAGUGGGGAUAAGCUCGCUGUGUUUAACCCGAAAAACACCCGACAAAGCUACUGUAAGUAGGCUUAAAACCAGCCAACAAAAUCCGUUAUAGGGGUCAUACAGUCAACAAAUAAUAUACACCGAAAACUUCUAAAGACAAGGAACCCUAAGGAUUAACCAACACCUUAAUGAACCGGCAACCUAUUAGUAUCUGAACUUACCUAAAGAGCAAAUGUAAAUAAGAGCUCAACAAACACAAGCAAGUAAAUUCACUACCACAAACAAUGAACUCGGCAAAACUCCUCCCCGCCUGUUUACCAAAAACACCGUCUUUUGGGUGAUAAACAUAAAAGAUACUGCCUGCCCAAUGAUUUAACUAUUAAAUGGCCGCGUUAGCGUGAGCGUGCUAAGGUAGCGUAAUAAACAGCUCCCCAAUUAGGAGCCAGUGAAAGGCAAAACGGGAAAGAACUGUGUCAUUUGUGUAAAGAAAAUUUUUCGUCUAAGUGAAAAGACUUAGAUAAAAGAGAAAGACAAAAAGACCCCGCGGAACUCCCCUCAAAACCCAGGUUAACAAUACAAGCCAAAAAUCUUUGAGGUUGGUUGGGGCAACCUUGGAGCAAACAAAACCUCCAAACAUCUAUUAAAACCUAUCCAAAAUUAGCUAUAGUCUAUACAGCAGUUACCCCGGGGAUAACAGCGUAAUCCAGCUUAAGAGUACACAUCGAAAGCUGGGUUUGCGACCUCGAUGUUGGCUUAGGGAAGCAACUUGGCGCAGCCACUAAGAGCACUGCCAGUCUGUUCGACUGCAAACCCCCUACACGAGCUGAGUUAAGACCGGCGAGAGCUAGGUUGGAUUCUAUCUUCUCCGUUAAACAGCACUCUUUAUUGUACGAAAGGACCCAAAGAGGCACACCCCCUAAGUGCCAAUUAAAAUAUUCCAUCUGAUCCCACGCACUGCAACAUU